UAACGCGAAGAACCUUACCAAGGCUUGACAUACACCGGAAACGGCCAGAGAUGGUCGCCCCCUUGUGGUCGGUGUACAGGUGGUGCAUGGUUGUCGUCAGCUCGUGUCGUGAGAUGUUGGGUUAAGUCCCGCAACGAGCGCAACCCUCGUUCUAUGUUGCCAGCGCGUUAUGGCGGGGACUCAUAGGAGACUGCCGGGGUCAACUCGGAGGAAGGUGGGGAUGACGUCAAAUCAUCAUGCCCCUUAUGUCUUGGGCUUCACGCAUGCUACAAUGGCCGGUACAAAGGGCUGCGAUACCGUAAGGUGGAGCGAAUCCCAAAAAGCCGGUCUCAGUUCGGAUUGAGGUCUGCAACUCGACCUCAUGAAGUUGGAAUCGCUAGUAAUCGUGGAUCAGC
RNAcentral lists this ribosomal RNA (395 nucleotides) under uncultured bacterium. RNAcentral's name for it is "bacterial SSU rRNA". It matches the Rfam family "Bacterial small subunit ribosomal RNA", at positions 957 to 1353 of the family's 1533-position model. The record is from RNAcentral.